Molecule: unclassified non-coding RNA, 222 nt
Filed under: uncultured Microbacteriaceae bacterium
Lineage: Bacteria; Bacillati; Actinomycetota; Actinomycetes; Micrococcales; Microbacteriaceae
Description: contains 16S-23S intergenic spacer region
Source: RNAcentral
UCCGAGUUGACCCCGGCAGUCUCAUAUGAGUUCCCACCAUUACGUGGUGGCAACAUACGACGAGGGUUGCGCUCGUUGCGGGACUUAACCCAACAUCUCACGACACGAGCUGACGACAACCAUGCACCACCUGUAACCGAGUGUCCAAAGAGUUCCACAUUUCUGCGGCGUUCUCGGUUAUGUCAAGCCUUGGUAAGGUGGGGAUGACGUAGCUAAGCCUUC